UUUUCAGCCGCCGCGGUAAUACAGAGGUCCCAAGCGUUGUUCGGAUUCACUGGGCGUAAAGGGUGCGUAGGUGGUCGGGUAAGUCCGAUGUGAAAUCUCCGAGCUUAACUCGGAAACUGCAUCGGAUACUAUUCGACUUGAGGGUUGGAGGGGGGACUGGAAUUCUCGGUGUAGCAGUGAAAUGCGUAGAUAUCGAGAGGAACACCAGUGGCGAAGGCGAGUCCCUGGACAACUCCUGACACUGAGGCACGAAAGCUAGGGGAGCAAACAGGAUUAGAAACCCCAGUAGUCC
RNAcentral lists this ribosomal RNA (292 nucleotides) under uncultured bacterium. Its description in RNAcentral is "partial 16S ribosomal RNA". It matches the Rfam family "Bacterial small subunit ribosomal RNA", at positions 505 to 796 of the family's 1533-position model. The record is from RNAcentral.